RNAcentral lists this ribosomal RNA (401 nucleotides) under uncultured bacterium. RNAcentral describes it as "bacterial SSU rRNA". It matches the Rfam family "Bacterial small subunit ribosomal RNA", at positions 28 to 424 of the family's 1533-position model. The record is from RNAcentral.
GACGAACGCUGGCGGCGUGCUUAACACAUGCAAGUGGAGCGACGAACCAGGCUUCGGCCUGGGGCAAAGCCGCGAACGGGUGAGUAACACGUGGGUAACCUGCCCCGAUGACUGGGACAACCCGAGGAAACUCGGGCUAAUACCGGAUGUACUUACAUCACACAAGUGAUGCAAAGCAAAGAUAGCUUCGGCCUUCGCAUCGGGAUGGGCCCGCGGCCCAUUAGCUUGUUGGUGGGGAACGGCCUACCAAGGCAACGAUGGUAGCUGGUCUGAGAGGACGAUCAGCCACACUGGGACUGAGACACGGCCCAGACUCCUACGGGAGGCAGCAGUGGGAAUCUUGCGCAAUGCGCGAAAGCGUGACGCAGCAACGCCGCGUGGGGGAAGAAGGCUUUCGGGUU